RNAcentral lists this ribosomal RNA (450 nucleotides) under uncultured bacterium. Its description in RNAcentral is "partial 16S ribosomal RNA". It matches the Rfam family "Bacterial small subunit ribosomal RNA", at positions 354 to 796 of the family's 1533-position model. The record is from RNAcentral.
GUGGGGAAUAUUGGACAAUGGGCGAAAGCCUGAUCCAGCCAUGCCGCGUGUGUGAAGAAGGUCUUCGGAUUGUAAAGCACUUUAAGUUGGGAGGAAGGGCAGUAAGUUAAUACCUUGCUGUUUUGACGUUACCGACAGAAUAAGCACCGGCUAACUUCGUGCCAGCAGCCGCGGUAAUACGAAGGGUGCAAGCGUUAAUCGGAAUUACUGGGCGUAAAGCGCGCGUAAGUGGUUUUGUAAGUUGGAGGUGAAAUCCCCGGGCUCAACCUGGGAACUGCCUCCAAAACUGCAUGACUAGAGUACGGUAGAGGGUAGUGGAAUUUCCUGUGUAGCGGUGAAAUGCGUAGAUAUAGGAAGGAACACCAGUGGCGAAGGCGACUACCUGGACUGAUACUGACACUGAGGUGCGAAAGCGUGGGGAGCAAACAGGAUUAGAAACCCCGGUAGUCC